CAGGCUUAACACAUGCAAGUCGAGGGGCAGCAUGGUCUUAGCUUGCUAAGGCCGAUGGCGGCCGGCGCACGGGUGAGUAACACGUAUCCAACCUGCCGUCUACUCUUGGACAGCCUUCUGAAAGGAAGAUUAAUACAAGAUGGCAUCAUGAGUCCGCAUGUUCACAUGAUUAAAGGUAUUCCGGUAGACGAUGGGGAUGCGUUCCAUUAGAUAGUAGGCGGGGUAACGGCCCACCUAGUCUUCGAUGGAUAGGGGUUCUGAGAGGAAGGUCCCCCACAUUGGAACUGAGACACGGUCCAAACUCCUACGGGAGGCAGCAGUGAGGAAUAUUGGUCAAUGGGCGAGAGCCUGAACCAGCCAAGUAGCGUGAAGGAUGACUGCCCUAUGGGUUGUAAACUUCUUUUAUAAAGGAAUAAAGUCGGGUAUGGAUACCCGUUUGCAUGUACUUUAUGAAUAAGGAUCGGCUAACUCCGUGCCAGCAGCCGCGGUAAUACGGAGGAUCCGAGCGUUAUCCGGAUUUAUUGGGUUUAAAGGGAGCGUAGAUGGAUGUUUAAGUCAGUUGUGAAAGUUUGCGGCUCAACCGUAAAAUUGCAGUUGAUACUGGAUAUCUUGAGUGCAGUUGAGGCAGGCGGAAUUCGUGGUGUAGCGGUGAAAUGCUUAGAUAUCACGAAGAACUCCGAUUGCGAAGGCAGCCUGCUAAGCUGCAACUGACAUUGAGGCUCGAAAGUGUGGGUAUCAAACAGGAUUGGAUACCCUGGUAGUCCACACGGUAAACGAUGAAUACUCGCUGUUUGCGAUAUACUGCAAGCGGCCAAGCGAAAGCGUUAAGUAUUCCACCUGGGGAGUACGCCGGCAACGGUGAAACUCAAAGGAAUUGACGGGGGCCCGCACAAGCGGAGGAACAUGUGGUUUAAUUCGAUGAUACGCGAGGAACCUUACCCGGGCUUAAAUUGCAGAUGAAUUACGGUGAAAGCCGUAAGCCGCAAGGCAUCUGUGAAGGUGCUGCAUGGUUGUCGUCAGCUCGUGCCGUGAGGUGUCGGCUUAAGUGCCAUAACGAGCGCAACCCUUGUUGUCAGUUACUAACAGGUUCCGCUGAGGACUCUGACAAGACUGCCAUCGUAAGAUGUGAGGAAGGUGGGGAUGACGUCAAAUCAGCACGGCCCUUACGUCCGGGGCUACACACGUGUUACAAUGGGGGGUACAGAGGGCCGCUACCACGCGAGUGGAUGCCAAUCCCCAAAACCUCUCUCAGUUCGGACUGGAGUCUGCAACCCGACUCCACGAAGCUGGAUUCGCUAGUAAUCGCGCAUCAGCCACGGCGCGGUGAAUACGUUCCCGGGCCUUGUACACACCGCCCGUCAAGCCAUGGGAGCCGGGGGUACCUGAAGUGCGUAACCGCGAGGAGCGCCCUAGGGUAAAACUGGUGACUGGGGCUAA
RNAcentral lists this ribosomal RNA (1437 nucleotides) under uncultured organism. Its description in RNAcentral is "16S ribosomal RNA". It matches the Rfam family "Bacterial small subunit ribosomal RNA". The record is from RNAcentral.